UACGUAGGUGGCAAGCGUUGUCCGGAAUUAUUGGGCGUAAAGCGCGCGCAGGCGGCCUCUUGAGUCUGAUGUGAAAGCCCCCCGGCUCAACCGGGGAGGGCCAUUGGAAACUGGGAGGCUUGAGUAUAGGAGAGAAGAGUGGAAUUCCACGUGUAGCGGUGAAAUGCGUAGAGAUGUGGAGGAACACCAGUGGCGAAGGCGACUCUUUGGCCUAUAACUGACGCUGAGGCACGAAAGCGUGGGGAGCCAAACAGGG
Molecule: ribosomal RNA, 256 nt
Filed under: uncultured bacterium
Lineage: Bacteria
Description: partial 16S ribosomal RNA
Rfam family: Bacterial small subunit ribosomal RNA
Source: RNAcentral